UACGUAGGUGGCGAGCGUUGUCCGGAUUUACUGGGCGUAAAGGGAGCGUAGGCGGACUUUUAAGUGAGAUGUGAAAUACCCGGGCUCAACUUGGGUGCUGCAUUUCAAACUGGAAGUCUAGAGUGCAGGAGAGGAGAAUGGAAUUCCUAGUGUAGCGGUGAAAUGCGUAGAGAUUAGGAAGAACACCAGUGGCGAAGGCGAUUCUCUGGACUGUAACUGACGCUGAGGCGCGAAAGUGUGGGGAGCAAACAGGAUUAGAUACCCCCGUA
This 269-nucleotide ribosomal RNA is filed under the name uncultured prokaryote. RNAcentral describes it as "partial 16S ribosomal RNA". It matches the Rfam family "Bacterial small subunit ribosomal RNA", at positions 524 to 792 of the family's 1533-position model. The record is from RNAcentral.